UGGUGUCAUACUUUGGAAUAACAUUUUAGU
Molecule: non-coding RNA, 30 nt
Filed under: Mus musculus (house mouse)
Lineage: Eukaryota; Metazoa; Chordata; Mammalia; Rodentia; Muridae
Also listed under: 1 other name
Source: RNAcentral